This 26-nucleotide non-coding RNA is filed under the name Mus musculus (house mouse). Lineage: Eukaryota; Metazoa; Chordata; Mammalia; Rodentia; Muridae. The record is from RNAcentral.
UGUUGCUAUGAGUAAAAUCAGUAGGA